GCUGGGUGUGGUGGCAUGCAUCUGUAAUCCCAGCCACUUGGGAGGCUGAGAUAGGAGGAUCACGAGUUCAAAGCCAGCCUCAGCAACUUAGUGAGACCCUGACUUAA
Molecule: small RNA, 107 nt
Filed under: Marmota monax (woodchuck)
Lineage: Eukaryota; Metazoa; Chordata; Mammalia; Rodentia; Sciuridae
Source: RNAcentral